This 481-nucleotide ribosomal RNA is filed under the name uncultured bacterium. Its description in RNAcentral is "partial 16S ribosomal RNA". It matches the Rfam family "Bacterial small subunit ribosomal RNA", at positions 30 to 506 of the family's 1533-position model. The record is from RNAcentral.
AUUGAACGCUGGCGGCAUGCCUUACACAUGCAAGUCGAACGGUAACAGGUCUUCGGAUGCUGACGAGUGGCGCACGGGUGAGUAAUACAUCGGAACGUGCCCGAUCGUGGGGGAUAACGAGGCGAAAGCUUUGCUAAUACCGCAUACGAUCUACGGAUGAAAGCGGGGGAUCUUCGGACCUCGCGCGGACGGAGCGGCCGAUGGCAGAUUAGGUAGUUGGUGGGAUAAAAGCUUACCAAGCCGACGAUCUGUAGCUGGUCUGAGAGGAUGAUCAGCCACACUGGGACUGAGACACGGCCCAGACUCCUACGGGAGGCAGCAGUGGGGAAUUUUGGACAGUGGGCGAAAGCCUGAUCCAGCCAUGCCGCGUGCAGGAUGAAGGCCUUCGGGUUGUAAACUGCUUUUGUACGGAACGAAAAGCCUCUUUCUAAUAAAGAGGGGUCAUGACGGUACCGUAAGAAUAAGCACCGGCUAACUACGU